Molecule: non-coding RNA, 161 nt
Organism: Glycine soja
Lineage: Eukaryota; Viridiplantae; Streptophyta; Magnoliopsida; Fabales; Fabaceae
Source: Rfam
AUACUUACCUGGAUGGGGUCAAUGGAUGAUCAAGAAGGUCCAUGGCCUAGGUUGGUGACCUCCAUUGCACUUAGGAGGGGUGCCCACCUAAGGUCUCCCCAAGUGGGAGAGCCUACAUCAUAAUUUGUGCUAGUGGGGGCUUGCGUUCGCGCAGCCCCCUU